Molecule: long non-coding RNA, 594 nt
Organism: Hylaeus anthracinus
Lineage: Eukaryota; Metazoa; Arthropoda; Insecta; Hymenoptera; Colletidae
Exons: 3
Source: RefSeq, a predicted model, not a curated record
GUAUCAACGCAGGCUUCUAGUAGUUGAUCGCGUACUUCGUGACCGAAGCUUCCCCAGAAGGCUGCAUCGUCUCAGGAUCGCCAUUUUAUGUGUUUGGCUCCGAGACUGGGACGGUGGGUGCGUGCGGUGCAAUCUAGAGAGCGUAUUCCGUGCAUUAUCCGCAACAUGUUACCCAAAUACUUUGCGCCCGACAUGUACAAGUAACGACAGGUGUCGGAGUGAGUGAUCGGGGCAGCGAAGGCUCGGGCCGAAAUGGUCCCGGAAUAGUGAGCUGUGCGUGAGUGUGUUUUCAUCGAGUAGUGCGUCGCACUGGCUUAUUCACUGCUGUCACCGUUUGUUAAUACCUGUGCCAUUCGGGAAAGUCAGCUUUGGGUCAAAUUACGGACGGCCUCUGGAUUCCUCGCGACACCCCCUUGUCACCAUCUACGAUGAGUUCGCGCAACAUACCCUCAGACAAGAUAAAUCUACGCCUCAUUCUUGUCAGCGGUAAGACAAAAGAGUUCCUAUUCAGUCCAAGCGACUCCGCGGGGGACAUAGCACAUCAUGUGUUUGAAAACUGGCCGGAAGGUAAGCUACCAAUUGGAAAAAAAUUCA